RNAcentral lists this ribosomal RNA (612 nucleotides) under Bordetella petrii. RNAcentral describes it as "bacterial SSU rRNA". It matches the Rfam family "Bacterial small subunit ribosomal RNA", at positions 95 to 702 of the family's 1533-position model. The record is from RNAcentral. Lineage: Bacteria; Pseudomonadati; Pseudomonadota; Betaproteobacteria; Burkholderiales; Alcaligenaceae.
UAGGCGAACGGGUGAGUAAUUGUAUCGGAACGUGCCCAGUAGCGGGGGAUAACUACGCGAAAGCGUGGCUAAUACCGCAUACGCCCUUUGGGGGAAAGCGGGGGACCUUCGGGCCUCGCACUAUUGGAGCGGCCGAUAUCGGAUUAGCUAGUUGGUGGGGUAAAGGCCUACCAAGGCGACGAUCCGUAGCUGGUUUGAGAGGACGACCAGCCACACUGGGACUGAGACACGGCCCAGACUCCUACGGGAGGCAGCAGUGGGGAAUUUUGGACAAUGGGGGCAACCCUGAUCCAGCCAUCCCGCGUGUGCGAUGAAGGCCUUCGGGUUGUAAAGCACUUUUGGCAGGAAAGAAACGGCUCUGGUUAAUACCUGGGGCAACUGACGGUACCUGCAGAAUAAGCACCGGCUAACUACGUGCCAGCAGCCGCGGUAAUACGUAGGGUGCAAGCGUUAAUCGGAAUUACUGGGCGUAAAGCGUGCGCAGGCGGUUCGGAAAGAAAGAUGUGAAAUCCCAGGGCUUAACCUUGGAACUGCAUUUUUAACUACCGGGCUAGAGUGUGUCAGAGGGAGGUGGAAUUCCGCGUGUAGCAGUGAAAUGCGUAGAGAUGCGGA